RNAcentral lists this long non-coding RNA (1011 nucleotides) under Zostera marina. RNAcentral's name for it is "long non-coding RNA (ZMAR_LNC005950)". The record is from RNAcentral. Lineage: Eukaryota; Viridiplantae; Streptophyta; Magnoliopsida; Alismatales; Zosteraceae.
GCCUAAAGGUAAUGGCAAAACCUUAGAGUAUCAAGGAAACUCUUAAGAACCUCUCUAAGCUUUAAGGCUACUUCGCUUAAGAACCAGUCUUUUACGGGUAGACUCACACCUUAGAGUAUCAAGGGCACUCUUAAGAACCUCUAACUUUUACGGGUAAGUUAGUACCUUAGAGUAUCAAGAAACUCUUAAAAACCUCUCUAAGCUUUAAGGCUACUUCGCUUAGGAACCAGUCUUUUACGGGUAGACUCACACCUUAGAGUAUCAAGGGCACUCUUAAGAACCUCUAACUUUUACGUGUAAGUUAGUACCUUAGAGUAUCAAGGAACUCUUAAAAACCUCUGAAAUCUUUAAAGGUAGACUCAACCUAAGAGUUUUCCCGGAAACUCUAUAAAACCAAACUAGAACUUUAUGGUUGAGCUCACAAACCUUCUCUAACACUUUGGUACUAUUGAGACAACCCUCUCAACCAAAGUGGACACACACAAGAGGUGAUUAGAGAAGUGGAAUAUUAAAGCAAACAACACUUCUUACUUGUAAAGAUGAACAAGAAGAUUAGAAGAAGAAGUUGGAGAGCUUUUGAAGCUUUGGAAAGCUAGGACACUUGAGCACUUGAAAGCUUGGAAGCUUGGAGGCAAAAACGUGUGGGCAAGUAUGGAGUGAAAGCUCUUGAGUUUGUUUGUAGUGUGGUGAGUGAAAAUGAGGGGAUUACCCUUCUAUUUAUAGCCUUGGCCACUCAAUGUCCACCCUUGGAUCUUCAAUGGAUGGCUCCUUGAUUUCUCACAAAAAUCCAAGCUUUGUCUUUGAUCUUAUCUUGAAUAGUGUAUUUUUUGGAUAGAGUUUGUUGGAGAAUCUUAUCUUUGUAUAAAUUCAAACUUGAAUAGUAUUUUGUCCCCUUGGAAUAUUAUACCUUGAAUAAAGUGUCAAAAGAUAAUAAUAAUAAUAUUCAAGGUAAAAAUGCAAUUAUUCCAAAUAAUAAUAUUCAAGGUGAAAAUGCAAUUAUUCCAAAUAACA